RNAcentral lists this unclassified non-coding RNA (375 nucleotides) under soil metagenome. Its description in RNAcentral is "partial contains 5.8S ribosomal RNA, internal transcribed spacer 2, and large subunit ribosomal RNA". The stretch from base 5 to 119 matches the Rfam family "5.8S ribosomal RNA", at positions 40 to 154 of the family's 154-position model. The record is from RNAcentral.
GAUGAGAACGUAGUGAAAUGCGAUAAGUAAUGUGAAUUGCAGAAUUCAGUGAAUCAUCGAAUCUUUGAACGCAUCUUGCGCUCCUUGGUAUUCUGAGGAGCAUGCCUGUUUGAGUGUCAUUAAAUUCUCAACUACACUGACUUUGAAUUGGUGUGGCUUGGAUUUGGGGGGAAAAUUGUUGUGGGCUUUUUGUAUAGUCUGCUCCCCUGAAAUUGAUUAGCGGUACCUUUGUGGAACUGUCUACAGGUGUGAUAAUUAUCUACAUCUUAGACAUCUGCUGGAAUGCUGCUUUCUAAACCUUACUUGUAUUGACAAUCUUGACCUCAAAUCAGGUAGGACUACCCGCUGAACUUAAGCAUAUCAAUAAGCGGAGGA